RNAcentral lists this ribosomal RNA (237 nucleotides) under uncultured bacterium. RNAcentral's name for it is "partial 16S ribosomal RNA". It matches the Rfam family "Bacterial small subunit ribosomal RNA", at positions 95 to 334 of the family's 1533-position model. The record is from RNAcentral.
UAGGCGGACGGGGGAGUAAUGUCUGGGAAACGUGCCCGAUGGAGGGGGGUAACUACUGGAAACGGUAGCUAAUACCGCAUAACGUCGCAAGACCAAAGAGGGGGACCUUCGGGCCCCUUGCCAUCGGAUGUGCCCAGAUGGGAUUAGCUAGUAGGUGGGGUAAAGGCUCACCUAGGCGACGAUCCCUAGCUGGUCUGAGAGGAUGACCAGCCACACUGGAACUGAGACACGGUCCAG